UUGAAGACCGUGAUCAUCUCGCGAGGAUGUCCUCAACUGGGCGGCACCGCACUUCAUCAUGAAAGAGGUUAGAUGCUACGGAAAAGGGGACACGGUCAUGAUGUCCGUAUCCACUCUUUCUCGUAGAAUCGAACCUCCUUCUUGACAUACGUUGCUGCUCGGCGGAGAACAUCCUCGCAGAAAUGAACACGGUAUGCAAGUUCAACAAGUGUGGAUUUGAAAAACCAUAUUGAAUUUGAUAAGAUAAACCGUCUAGACAAGGUAGCAUCAUUUUUAAACCACUGCAAUAAUGCAUACUAUAUAUGACACAUCAAUCUCCC
This 320-nucleotide long non-coding RNA is filed under the name Setaria viridis. Its description in RNAcentral is "long non-coding RNA (SVIR_LNC005448)". The record is from RNAcentral. Lineage: Eukaryota; Viridiplantae; Streptophyta; Magnoliopsida; Poales; Poaceae.